CCGCCCCCGCCUGUCACUUGUGCACACGCACACACAUUGCCAGUACUGCUCAAAAGCUGCCGGCUCUGAGAACUCCCAAGGGACUGCACGGGCCACUUGAGUAGCUCGCUAAUGGGCCUACUUCCUUCCUCGGAGAAAUGGUCCAGGAAACGUUUUUGGAGUGAAAUUUCAGGAUUGGUUUAACUUCAAUAAAAUACAACAGAGAUGAAGUGGUAGGGCUUGGGGGACUUCCUCUGACUCUGCUUGUUGGGGGAGCUCCUCCAGUGUCUGAGUCUGGGAAGAGAUCCUUCCAUGAGGUUCUCAGGAGCUAUCAAGCAAGCCUUGGUCUUUGGUCCUAAGUCGUUAACCAAAAGACACUGUCAAGGAGGCCAACACACUGAAGAGUGCAUUUCUGCAGGUGCAAAGAACAAUCCAUUGGACAGACAUGAGUCAGUUUGUCUGGUGAGUCUCAUUUUCCUAGAGGAGACAAGCAGUCAUGACUAUGUUUCUAGACUCGAUCAGCUGUCUUCACUGGCUCCAUUCCUUUCUCAGUGGAUAGCAUUGCCGUCCUCUUAGGUAUCACUGCCUCCUAAAUCCUCCUGCAUUAAAUCUUCAUUGGAACAAGAUGGGAAGAUAAACAAUCGAAUGAAAUCAAUACCCACUGUCCGCCCAUGUAUCACUGGUCACUCACACUCUCCCUUGAAUCUGCCUUCUCCUCUCCUCUCCUCUCCAAGUGCAUUAGAGACACCCCAAGGACCUCAUUUGUGCUAUGCUACCUCAGGCAGAAUUAGCUUUUUUGUUCUCUUUUACUUUGCAGAGAGGAGUUGCAAGACAAUGAUCUCAAAUCUUGUAGGAAGGCGACUUUGGAACCUCAUGUGCAGAGGGCAGGGGAGCCCUAAAAACCUCCCUGAACCUUCAGGAGGUGUUACGUACCCCAGGAGCUUGGAAUGGAGAGUCAGGAAUCUGUAACCACUGUGUUGCUCUUCAAGAACAAAGCACUUGUCGGUUUACCACUCUGGGAAGAUUGCCAGGCUCAAGUAUUAAUAAUAAUCUCUUUGUUUUUUAAAUGCCUUAUAAUUGCAUAAAUAAAGCUUACUUUCUCUUCUUUAAUGGUAAUGAG
Molecule: long non-coding RNA, 1099 nt
Filed under: Vulpes vulpes (red fox)
Lineage: Eukaryota; Metazoa; Chordata; Mammalia; Carnivora; Canidae
Description: lncRNA (ENSVVUG00000016914.1)
Source: RNAcentral